GGGGAAUAUUGGACAAUGGGCGAAAGCCUGAUCCAGCCAUGCCGCGUGAGUGAUGAAGGCCUUAGGGUUGUAAAGCUCUUUUACCAGGGACGAUGAUGACGGUACCUGGAGAAUAAGCUCCGGCUAACUUCGUGCCAGCAGCCGCGGUAAUACGAAGGGAGCAAGCGUUGUUCGGAAUUACUGGGCGUAAAGCGCGCGUAGGCGGCCAUACAAGUCAGGGGUGAAAGCCCAGAGCUUAACUCUGGAAUUGCCUUUGAAACUGUAUGGCUGGAGUACUGGAGGGGAUGGCGGAAUUUCUAAUGUAGCGGUGAAAUGCGUAGAUAUUAGAAGGAACACCGGCGGCGAAGGCGGCCAUCUGGACAGUUACUGACGCUGAGGCGCGAAAGCGUGGGGAUCAAAC
RNAcentral lists this ribosomal RNA (400 nucleotides) under uncultured bacterium. RNAcentral describes it as "bacterial SSU rRNA". It matches the Rfam family "Bacterial small subunit ribosomal RNA", at positions 356 to 773 of the family's 1533-position model. The record is from RNAcentral.